AUGUUCAUCAUUAGAGAUUAUAUAAUUAAGGUGAAACAAUUCCAACCACAACUAUUUGGUUUGGGAACUAUAUGUAUCUUGCUGCUAGGAAUGUCAGGCACCUUUGGUAUUCUCAGUUUUCUUUAUUCUUGCUAUAAGUUUUACAUCACAACAAGAAAAACACCCGACGUGGGCGAUCUGCCUGCGAAGUGGAAACGGGGGGACGCGGGCGAUAAUGGCCAUUGCCUCCUGUACUGGAUCCCAGCAACAUGGUUCUCAGCUAGGUGGUGUAUGUUGUUUCAUGCUAUGAGGAGGAAUUUCACAAAGCUUAGGAGGCCAAAAUCCCACGCAAAUCAGGUAAACCUUGGGCAUGAGGGUCGAAAAGUUUUUUUCUUUGUCAAAGAAAUUCCUUAUUAA
RNAcentral lists this ribosomal RNA (396 nucleotides) under Triticum aestivum (bread wheat). RNAcentral's name for it is "partial small subunit ribosomal RNA". Lineage: Eukaryota; Viridiplantae; Streptophyta; Magnoliopsida; Poales; Poaceae. The record is from RNAcentral.